Molecule: long non-coding RNA, 2272 nt
Organism: Oncorhynchus nerka (sockeye salmon)
Lineage: Eukaryota; Metazoa; Chordata; Actinopteri; Salmoniformes; Salmonidae
Exons: 2
Source: RefSeq, a predicted model, not a curated record
UGUAACUGGACAAAAGCUAUUUCAAACACUGAAGUGUUUUUGUAUGUUAACCCAUUUUAUCAAUAGUAGUGGUAAACAUAGCGAGCAUAUCAACAUUAGCAGGCUAGAUACAUUUAAAAAAAAAAUGUUAGUAAUUUAAUACGUGCUCUUAUCCAGAGCGACUUACAGUUGAGCACAUACAUUUUAUAACUUUUCCCCGUACUGGUCGCGGAGGGAAUCGAACCUAUAACACUGGCCUUGCAAGCACCAAGUGCUACCAACUGAACCAUUUGGGACAAAUCCAUUUUGUAACAAUACCAGAAAUGCUGACAAUUGUCGUGGUAAUUAUUCUAAUCAAAGGAGAGACUUUUAGAUUUCUUCAAAACCAUCAAACUUUAUUAAUAAUGACUGCAGUAAUGGAGCGUUAACGGUCACGCUAUGUUGUAGAGUUACCAUCACUCAUUCAAAUAUCUUUAUGUACAUAUUCUUCAUCCCUUUACGCUUGUGUGUAUAAGGUAGUUGUUGUGAAUUGUUAGGUUAGAUUACUCGUUGGUUAUUACUGCAUUGUCAGAACUAGAAGCACAAGCAUUUCGCUACAUCUGCUAACCAUGUGUAUGUGACAAAUAAAAUUUGAUUUGAUUUGUAACAGAGAAAAGAGCCAGGUGCUAAUCCUAAAGCACCAAAGAAGGCUUCAUCUUCAACCACCAGAAUCAGGCAACAAACAAGCCGAUAACCACCUGGUUAUCUUAAAGAUUAUGUGGUGGAGUUUCCCCCACCAAAGCCCACCGGCAAGCCCACCGGGGCUCAAAGCGGGGAUGGAUCAACUGUACCUUCCAGCUAUCAACCAUCCCGUCCAAGCCAAGGACCGGAAACUGCUUUGGAACAGGGGAGUGGUCUACGGGAAGAACCAAAGGAAGAGGACAUUUCUAAGUGACCCCAAACCUUUGAAAGGAAGUGUAUAUACUGGGCGGUGUCAGAGGAAAGCCCAUAAAAUUGUCAAAGACUCCAGUGACCCACAGCAAGCAGUACCAGAGCACCAAGUCUAGGACCAAAAAGCUCCUUAACAGCUUCUACCCCCAAGCCAUAAGACUGCUGAACAAUUAAUCAAAUGGCCACCAGACUAUUACAUUGACCCCCGGUCGGCCUCCAUUUGUUUUGUACACUGCUGCUACUCGCUGUUUAUUAUCUAUGCAUAGUCACUUCCCCCCUACCUACAUGUACAAAUGACCUCUAACAUGUACCCCAGUACACUGACUUGGUACCGGUACCCCCUGUAUAUAGCCUCGUUAUUGUUAUGUUAUUGUGUUACUUUUUAUUAUUUUUUAGUUUAGUUUAUUUGGUAAAUAUUUUCUCAACUCUUCUUAAAACUGCACUGUUGGAUAAGGGCUUGUAUGUAAGCAUUUCACGGUAAGGUCUACACUUGUUGUAUUCUUCAAUCAGUGUAGAUGAUGGGGAGACAGGUUUAAGAAUGAUUUUUAAGCCUUGAUACAAUUGAGACAUGGAUUUUGAACGAGACAACAGCAGCACUGUGCCAUGGUUGUAGGUGCCAGGCACACCCGGUUGUGUCAAAAACUGCACCGCUGCUGUGUUUUUUACACUCAACAGUUUCCAGUGUGUAUCAAGAAUGGUCCACCACCCAAAGGACAUCCAGCCAACUUGACACAACUGUGUGAAGUAUUGGAGUCAACAUGGGCCAGCAUCCCUGUGGAACGCUUUCGACACCUUGUAGAGUCCGUGCCUCGGUACUGGUACUCCUUGUAUUUAGCCUUGUUAUUGCUGUUUUAUUAUGUUAAUAUUUCAUUUUUAUUUAUUUAGCUAAGUUCUCUUACUUUUUUACUCUGCAUUGUUGGGAAAGGACUCGUAAGCAUUUCCCGGUAAAGCAUUUAAUCGCUGCAUGUGAUGAAUACAAUUUUAUUGAUUAUCAUUCAUUUAUAAGUCCAAAAAUUGAUGUAGCAACUGCAGUUUGUAGUGGAAGUGUUUUUUUGUGUGUGUUGAAUUUAACUGCUAAUUUGCUAUGUGAGGCCUAUUUGAUAGAAUAUACUGUAAUGAAACAGCAGGGAGCAGGUCUCGAACCCUCGACGUUCGAGCCCGAGGUCCGGCGCGCUAUCGACUGUGCCUCAAAAGCACUAAUUCGCUUGACUUUGAUAUGUCACGUAACUAUUUAGUCUUUGCUUGCCCUUGAAAGGUCGAGGUAUGUAGAAAAGUAUAUUCUUGCCGGAUUGCCUACAUGUCCUUUCAACUUUACGGAGACAACCCUACCAAAUAAAGUAGCCUAUGGCGAUAUCAAAACCUA